CAACCCUCAAGCCCCUCCGGGCGUGGCGUUGGGGAUCGGCCCCGCUUCGGCGGCCGGCCCCGAAAUGUAGUGGCGGUCUCGCCGCUGCCUCCUCUGCGUAGUAGAAACACCUCGCAUUGGGAAGCGGCGCGGCCACGCCGUUAACCAGAUGAAUUAUCUUCAA
RNAcentral lists this unclassified non-coding RNA (163 nucleotides) under uncultured Volutella. Its description in RNAcentral is "sequence contains ITS2". Lineage: Eukaryota; Fungi; Ascomycota; Sordariomycetes; Hypocreales; Nectriaceae. The record is from RNAcentral.